This 420-nucleotide long non-coding RNA is filed under the name Phoenix dactylifera (date palm). RNAcentral describes it as "long non-coding RNA (PDAC_LNC008163)". Lineage: Eukaryota; Viridiplantae; Streptophyta; Magnoliopsida; Arecales; Arecaceae. The record is from RNAcentral.
CUUGUUCUCGAGCCCAAUGUCUUCCAAAUUUAAUUAUUGCUAAACUGCUUCAGACCGGACUCGACAAGACCAAAAACAAGACCGGGACUUAAUAAAAAAAGUUAAUCAAAGCUUUUUCUCAUACAAAAAUAAUUAUCUAAUCAGGACCAAAACCUAUUUAAUUAUAGCCUUAGCUUGAUUACAACUCCAUCAGGUUACUAAACCGGGUCAACCCAAUCCCCUGUUUUCAUGAAAGAUCGCAACCAGGAGAGAGACGAGUUCAGAAUCUAUUUUAAGAAAAGAAUUAUUUACUUAUUACCAUAUUUUAAAUUUAUUUCAAUGUUUAUUCAAUUUCAUGGUAAAAUAUGUAUUUAUUAGUUUAAGAACAUUGAUAAGUGCUAUGGAAAGAUAGCUAAAUUAUGAAUUAUUAAGCACUUAUCA